This 313-nucleotide long non-coding RNA is filed under the name Junco hyemalis (dark-eyed junco). RNAcentral describes it as "lncRNA (ENSJHYG00000003677.1)". The record is from RNAcentral. Lineage: Eukaryota; Metazoa; Chordata; Aves; Passeriformes; Passerellidae.
AUGCUCCCGGCGCAUCCCGGGGCGAGCGGCCCCAAACGGGCCGGGCCUGCUCAGGUGCGCGGGGCGGGACCGGGGGAUUCAAACCCCGGAGCCGCCCCGGCCUCCUGGGCUCGUUCAGCGCUCGGUGCGGGAGCAGCGGCCGGGCCGGGCUCCUCCGGGGGUCCAAGGUUGUGCUGGAUGACUUCAAAGUCCCAGACUGAAGCCACACAGAGGAUUGAAGGCAGCACCAAGAUAUUGUAGGACUGUCUCCAAACAGAUCGCACUGCAAAGAGGGUUUUCCAGCUGGAGGAAACCUCCAGCAGGGAGUUCACAC